UCUUUAUUACAAAAAGUUACAAGUUACAACAAAUUUACAUUAUGUUUAUCAGAGUGGUUACAAAAGUAAUUCAAAGAAAUAAACUUUGAAAUGUUAUAAAUUAUUUAUAAUUUUGAAAUAUAUGCUAGCUUAAUGACAAUCCUCAAUAAGAAGCAUAGAAGAGCUACUUUAACCUAUAAGAAGGUCGUGCCCACCGGCGCUUAACACCAUCCACAACAACACAAUUCUAGUAUCUGCAACAACAUGGGUUCGAAAACCAUGAGUACGAAGUGUACUUUCGCAAGUCUUACUCAUCUAAGGAAAAAGACUCUCAAGGAUAUGCUGGCUUUUGGGAAUCAAGGUAAAGUUUAACAAGAUUCAAAGACUCUUUUGCAGAAAAGCUUAAUAUGAGUGGAUCCUUAAGAAUUCAUUUUACUUGUCAGGUUAAGUAAAGUUACCUGCAUCUAGAGUUCUUUCUAUCCUAGUUCAAACACUUGGCCUACACUAGCCGUCUUUUAUCAACCCUUUAGUUCACUGGAUUGCUACGUGUAAGUCAGUGACCAAGUCUUCAUGUCCGAGAAGUAACAGCGAUCCGAAUCGAUUAAUACUCAGUUGAGGAUCUCUAGCCACACGACCUAUGUAGCACUUAACCCUUGCAUAUGUCAACUCGCCACCGGGUUUCUCAAGACCAGACCGGGUUCACGCCAAUCGAGAGCACAGAAACACCACCGUCCAGCCUCUUGCCACAGAGGGUACACGCUACUCUCGCCAUCUCUCCACUCCCAUUGCGUGUUGGCCUUUCUGGUAUUGGUUCGACUGAGGCAAAGCUUACCCAUGACGAGGCAUGUUUGCUAGUUAAAGGGUCCUCAGUUAGCAGGCCCACAUCGACAUGGUCCCUAAGCGACUCAGAUGGAGACACUACACCGAGACUUCCUUCUCGUGCAAGUCACCCGCCCGGUCUGGUCUUUAUUAUUUAAACCCAAAGUUUGGUACCUGGCAGAGGUACAUCUUUUCAGAUGUUGAACCCAUCAAGGCCUUUGAUGGAUUCACCCUCAUAAGUCUUUUCUUUUGAAAAAUUCCCAUCCACUAUGAAGCAUCACUUUUUGUUUAAAACAAAACAUUUUGUUUUUCUAUAGCAAGGCUAAGCAUCAUAAAAUCCUUUUCAUAAAAGGGUAUCAAAGAAGGGUAAUCAAUUUUCCAAGGAAGGAAAUGCAUUAGUUGUUUAGCACACAACUCCUAUCACCUAAUGCAUCAUAUAAGGUGAUAAAGAUUUUAAAACACAAGGAAAGGGAUAAUGCACCGGGCUUGCCUAGAAUAACAAUAGGUUAGUGUUUGUUAGACAUCAAUCACUUGACGACCAUCCUUUGUCUUGGUACUAGUUCAAAUUAUCCAUCUUCAGGUUGGUCCAUCAACAUCACCUUUUUGAGUAGCUUGCGCUUUAUGACAUCUUGUGGUCGACUUGGUUCUGGUCCUUGAUUAAUUAAUGUACCUAAAUGAUUUGCAUAAUGCACAUGAAUGCAUAUAAACAAUAAUAGUACAAGACUAAAUAUUGUUGUACCAAAGAGAAUUAGACACGCAUAGCAAGACGUUGUCAACUCUAAUAUGCAAAUACUCGAUAUUUUUGACUUUCUAAGACAACGAUCAUGAACUUUCAGUUAAUCGGAUCCAACUCAGGCAUCAAGCAACAAUAACUAUAAAUACACACUAUGUUACCCUUAAUUAAAGCAUAACAUGGAGAGUCUAAUAAAACUCCGACUCACUAUUACCGGACACCCAUGACUCAGACUAAGAAUAGAAACCAUUCAAUUAACUUCUAGAAUUACUAUUUUCGGCUAUUAUGCGUAGGACCAACUAAAUUAAAUAUCUCAUUUAUCCUUAAUCUAAGAAGUAGAAUGUGACAGAACCUCCCAAGUCAUUAGGCCCACCUACAGUUGUCCUUGUCCAACGGACCUCAGACAACCCUGCAGGUGCACCUGAUCACUUGACAAGUUCGGUAUCUGAAUUUCUUACCUUGCUCAAGAGCGUUUCACCCGUCACGCAGACAUUACAAUACAUCGGAGGUACGAAAAUGCGGAAGCAGUUACAAUAACUUGCUUUAUUUAAAGGUAAGAAAGAGUAGUAUUUAUUACAAACCAGAACAACUAUAAGAGUGCUGAGUAUUAUUAUUACAUAACCUGGGAGGUAAAAACCCCUCCCGAUAAACGGUAAAAAGUUUUUCUUAACGGAGGACUCUUCCUUCCGCAUCUUUAGUCUUGAUUUUCUUCUUUAGGUACCACCUUGGAACAGAAGCAACAAAAGUUUGCUGCUUCUUCACCUAAAACAACAUGGGACAAAGCCCUGAGUACGAAAUGUACUUUCGCAAGUCUUACCCGUCAAAAUAAAAGACUCUCAAGGAUAUGCUGGCCUUUAGGAGUCAAGGUAUGGCUUAUCAAUAAUCAAAGACUCUGUUUGCAGAAAUGCUUACUAAUAGUGGAUCCUUAAAAAUCUAGUUUUAAUUGUCAGGUUAAGUAAAGUUACCUGUAUCUAGAGUUCUUUAUACCCUAGUUCAAGCACUUGACCUAUACUAGCCAAUUUCUUAUCAACCCUUCUUGUUCACUGGAAUGCUACGUGUAGGGCAGUGACCAAGUCUUCAUUUCCAUGAAGUUACGGCGAUCCGAAUCGAUUAUACUCAGCUGAGGAUCUCUAAUCACAUGAAAUAUGUAGCACUUAACCCUUGCAUAUGUCAACUCGCCACCGGGGUUCUUAAGACUAGAUCAGGUUCACGCCAACCGAGAGCACAGAUACACCACCAUACAGCCUCUUGCCAUGGAGGGUACAUGCUACUCUUGCCAUCUCUCCACUCCCAUUGCGUGUUAUCUUAUUCUGGUAUUAGUCUGCCCGAGGCAAAGCUUACCCAUGAUGAGGCAUGUGACCAGUUAAAGGGUCCUCGAUCAGCAAGCCUACAUCGACAAGGUCCUUAAUUGACUCAGACGGAGACACUACACCGAGACUCUCUUCUCGUGCAAGUCACCCGCUCGGUCUCAGCUUUAUCAUUUCAAACCCAACGUUUGGUACCUGGCAGAGGUACAUCUUUUCUGAUGUUGAACCCAUCAUGGCCAUGAUGGAUCCACCAUCAAGUUGUGUUUUUGAAAACAUCCCACCCACUUUGAAGCACCAUCUUUUGUCAAAACAAAACAUUUUGUUUUCUAGAGUAAAGCUAAGCAUAAGAAAAACCUUUUAGUAAAUCAGGGGAUUAAAGGGAAGUAAUCAAAUCCAAGGAAGUGAGAAAGAUUUCAAAAUAAUGCAUCAAAUCCAAGCAACUGGUUUAGUAGACAACUCCUAUUACCUAAUGCAUCAAGUAAGUGAGAAAGAUUUCAAAAUAACAAGAGAGUGGCAAAUGCACUGGGGCUUGCCUUGUGUGAUAGGUGAAUCAGGCUCUGUUCCGUAGAUAUCAAAAUAAAAACGGUUUCCUUCCUGAGGUUCUUCAGGUGGUGGUGGUGAAGUCCUUGCUUCUUCAACUUCUAUUUCCUCUUCGAUCUCUAGAUAUAACCAUAUAUAAUCAUGAAUGCUCAUGUAAUGCUCAUGAAAUGCUCAUGAAAGUGCUAAGAUAAUAAAAGUUUAUUAUCUAAUGUCUUGAAUAUAACUUUCCUUCACGGAUCUCCGGGAAACUAGGGUUUUCGGAGUCUAUAGUGAAGUUCAUAGGGCGGGGGGGCUAGGGUUUUGGGUUCUAAGUAUCAAACAUGGUCCAUAUUAUACCAAACUUUACCCAAGGCUUCUAAAUAAUAUUUAAAGCUUAUUUAAAAAGUUUGGUGAAUUUUGGAAUUAUUAACUAUUCUCUAAACUUCCAGAAGUAUGGAUUUUGGCGAUUUUAAAUGUCCCAUAAUUCCCUAUUGGAACUAAAAAUCAGGAAACUAUUUUUAUUAAAUACUAUAAGAAAUUAGAAUCCUAGCAAAAUUGGUCUGGUAUUUUUAGAAUUUUUCUACAAUUUUUUAUGGAUUUCUAAAGCUUCUCGGAAAAAGAAAAAGAAAAUCUUUCAACAGUGUUGGGCCAGAACUGACCCAACCGACCCAACCCGAAACAGAAAACGGGGACGCGCCCCCGCGCGCGCGCCUGCUUUGGCAAAUUUGCAUAGAGGCCCCCGAUGGCUUGGAUAACUCGUUAAAAACCCCUAGCCACUAUUCAUCGUCUCUCUGACAGUUACACAGAGGUCCCCUGACUUCUGUUUCUUCUCCAAACAGACCCAUGGCCACGACGCGCUCGCCGUCGAUCACCACACGACUCGGACUGGCCAUGACCGGCGUUGGCUGCCCAAAUUAACUAAUGGACAAGCAUCACCGAGCCGAGGCAAACCCAUAACGAGCUUUAAUUUGGCUUGCACACUUAGAGAAUGUUCUACCCACGCGCACGACAGAAAACCGCGACAUCGAGCCCGCGUUCCCAUUCAAUCACGCUUGAAUUGGUCAAAUGGUUGCCACGAUGAGCUUCAUGGGUACGCAGAGCUGCUAAAACAAUACGCGAGAAGUGCAGAACCAUACCAGAAUGGUCCGGCGACGGAGCGCGGAGAAUUUCCACUUGCCGGAGACUAAGAAGGGGGAAAAUGGCGUCGCGACGGGCUCUGGUGAAAUUGGGAGGUGAGAUUGGGGCUACACGGUCGCAAAGUGCUACCGAUUCACCGUGCACACUUAAUUUAGGGAGAGGUGGAGAAGGCAGUGUGAAUUUUGGCUUUUCCCAAGCUCGCUGGUGAAGCUGUGAGUGCCUUGCCGUGGUUCAUGGAGCUAUUUAUAGCCACGACAGUCUAGCUAACGAUCAGCGGCCGCGGAUUGCAUUGUUCACGCAUGGCAACCACGUAGAUAAGAGGCACAGUAAGGGGAAAACAAGGCAUGGGUGACACCGCGGCGGAAGUGACCGAGCCACGGCGACCGCCGGUGGGAUACCUCAGGCCACGCACGGCUGGGUUCGCGGGAUGGUGCCACGUCCGAAGUUAUCUCUCCGCGAUCGACUACCUUCACUGGAUCACUCGAGCACAUCCGGUUCAAUAGUGCCUUAGAUCUUAUCCGUGUUCUUCAGAUAUUUACAGUGCUUUGAUCUUCAGCGUUUUACUGAACCGACCACCUUUCAUCCUCUCUAUCUCCUAAUUCUUGUUAAGGAUAGGGUAACCUCCCUUAAUAAAAUUUGUUCCCCAAACAAUAGUCUUUAAGUUUGUUAUAGGGUUCAUGGAUCAAUUCUAUAUAGAUUCUCAGAUUUGGUGCUCUCAAAGUGACUGCAUUUCACUGGGACCAUUCUUUUCUGAAUCCAGUGUUUAGAACUGCCCAAUUGGCUUCUGAUAGCGCAACUUCACACUUAUUUAUCUCCAAUUUCUAUUCAGCACCAGUGCUUAGUUACUUAACCAAAAUUGUUCUCCUUACAUAGAUCUACAAACUUGAUGUGUUGACAUGGGGCAAAAUCUUCAUAAUUUGGAAGAUAUAGGGCUUCAAAGUUGAGCCAAUUCACUGAAACUCAUACUUAAUAGAGUUUAAGUUGGACUUUUUGCAAAUAAGUCCAAAUCUCAAGGUUUAAUUUGCAAAUCCACAUACAUGUGAAUCAUAUGGGUUAAGGUACCCUAAUUUCAUGGUUUUGCACUUAGGUCCAAAAAUGUGCACAUUUUGCAUAUAACCCCUUAGGGUUUCAGUCUAGGGUUUUCCAGGGGUCUAUUUAGGGUAUUUGGUACUUCUAGGGUUUGGAUAUCACUUAAGUUCAUUAAUGGUGACAUUUUAUGAUCAUUAUUUUCAAGUUUUGAAGUUUUCUCUUGUUUAGGCUUUAUUUACUCUUCUGAGUCUAGUUUAGGGUUAAGUACCCUAUUUUAGGCUUUUACCCACAACUAGUGACAUUCACACAACUUGUUUGAAAUUUUUGCCUGGUGAAUGCAUUCUAAGUGUGACAAACACAUGAUAUGCCAACGCUUAUGAUGUUAUGCUCAAGUUUUAGUAUCUACCAAGACACUUGCCACCGAAACUGUAUUUUUAUUUUUUUAUCAACUUAAAUAUUUGAAGUAUUUACACCUACCACAGGGUUUUCUCCAAUUUUCAACAGAUGCUGGCUGGCCGAUGUUACUCAACAAUUAGCCAAGACACCUAUCGACCACUAAAUAUCGUAUAAUGUCUCCCACAUCAGGACAUCGACUCCAAACAUCGACGAAAUACAUCCAAAGCAACUUAACAACAUCUAUCUGCCAGAUCUUAGAAACACUAGUCCUAUAAUUUGUAUUAUUAAUUCGGUCACAUAAUUUAGAUAUGUCUACCCUCACCAUUCAUAUGAGUCGCAUCUAAAAUCCCGAUUUCAACACACAUAUGCUAAAUCAAGAAAAUAAUCGCGUUAAACAAUUCUAUUUGAUCCAUCAACCCAAUCAACUAAUAAAAAUAGUGAAUCAGCUUACCUAAAUCCGAUUUGGAAUUC
RNAcentral lists this long non-coding RNA (6390 nucleotides) under Zea mays. RNAcentral describes it as "long non-coding RNA (ZMAY_LNC000929)". The record is from RNAcentral. Lineage: Eukaryota; Viridiplantae; Streptophyta; Magnoliopsida; Poales; Poaceae.